CUUAUCACUUGGAAUAAAAAUUGAAAAUUGAUAAAAGACCAGUUGCAUUACAAUUUUGCACCAGCUCUUCUGCGUCAGUGAUCACAGAGACUGAUCUGAACAACAAAUUUUUAUCUUAUCUAAUCCACAAAUACAUCAACUACCAAACAUAAAUAACUGAACAUAUUUGUCGCGUGUUGUAUCAUUAACGAUUAAAUGAAAAGUGAAUGUUUAUUAUACGCAUAAUAGUUGAUUUCCGAUAUGGAUCCUCGUGACGAUCCAACGGCGGGAGUUAUAUUAAUAGUGAUUUUUUCAAUAUUUUCACUUUUGGUUGUCAUCCAGAUCGUGAUUUUUGAAUACAGAAGGAGAAAAUUUCUUAGGCUUCUAAAUGAAGGAUAUUAUUUUGUGGAAGAUAAUCUAAGAUUUAGAAGAGCAAAUUUACGACCCAUCCAUCCCAAUAAUAUUGAUAUGAGAUAUGGAGUUCCCAAUAUCAUAAAUCCGGCAUUAGUAUUUGAUUGAGAAAAACAUGUCAAUUUGAAGUAAUAUAACAACAUAAAUAGUUCUAGUCCUAUUUUUAUUAUAUACCACUGAUAAAAAAAUAUAUCGAGUAAAAAAAGCUACGCUUAUUUUACUUUUUUCAGGCUAAAAAUUCUUGCCCAAUUAAAUAGACUGUGGAGUAAUAAUAUAUAUAAUACCCAUUCGAACCACAAUAAUUAUCAAUUCGAUCUUGAUAAAAUGAAACUUUAUCAAAACAAGCGGAUAAGCGCACAUUUUUUUUCGAACUGAUAAUAAAUUUAUUGGUCUCGCUAACAAUUAACAGUGUACCAUGGCUUUCGAUUCUUUUGGUCCUCUAAUGGUCUUCGGAUUUUUUUUAAUGGGAUUCUACAUGAUGGGACAAAUUGGCAUUGUCAUUUAUACUAAGUUUGCAUAUCAAAACUUAAGAAACAAAAUAUUACAAUCUGGGCGACUCAUUCAAGCGAUUCCAAUUAUUGGAGUUGCAACAAUUCCCACUGUGCAUCAACAAUAUCACGUCGAACAGCCCCAAAGCAGUCAAUUAGGAUAUAAUUCGGCUGGACAACAAAUAAGAAAAGAACAUCCACCGCCAUAUGCUCCAUAAGACAACAAUUGGCACUGAAAAUGUUACAUACUGAUUCAAGUUUAUCAAAUACAGUGUUCAUAUCAUGAUUUGCAGAAAAAAAAAUAAAUGAACAUUUCUAGA
Molecule: long non-coding RNA, 1198 nt
Organism: Cylas formicarius (sweet potato weevil)
Lineage: Eukaryota; Metazoa; Arthropoda; Insecta; Coleoptera; Brentidae
Exons: 5
Source: RefSeq, a predicted model, not a curated record